GACGAACGCUGGCGGCGUGCUUAACACAUGCAAGUCGAACGGAAAGGCCCUGCUUUUGUGGGGUGCUCGAGUGGCGAACGGGUGAGUAACACGUGAGUAACCUGCCCUUGACUUUGGGAUAACUUCAGGAAACUGGGGCUAAUACCGGAUAGGAGCUCCUGCUGCAUGGUGGGGGUUGGAAAGUUUCGGCGGUUGGGGAUGGACUCGCGGCUUAUCAGCUUGUUGGUGGGGUAGUGGCUUACCAAGGCUUUGACGGGUAGCCGGCCUGAGAGGGUGACCGGCCACAUUGGGACUGAGAUACGGCCCAGACUCCUACGGGAGGCAGCAGUGGGGAAUAUUGCACAAUGGGCGGAAGCCUGAUGCAGCAACGCCGCGUGCGGGAUGACGGCCUUCGGGUGGUAAACCGCUUUCGCCUGUGACGAGGCGUGGGUGAGGGUAAUGGGUAAGAAGCACCGGCUAACUACGUG
This 467-nucleotide ribosomal RNA is filed under the name uncultured bacterium. RNAcentral describes it as "partial 16S ribosomal RNA". It matches the Rfam family "Bacterial small subunit ribosomal RNA", at positions 28 to 507 of the family's 1533-position model. The record is from RNAcentral.